This 59-nucleotide ribosomal RNA is filed under the name Leptolyngbya fragilis OL 03. Its description in RNAcentral is "partial 16S ribosomal RNA". Lineage: Bacteria; Bacillati; Cyanobacteriota; Cyanophyceae; Leptolyngbyales; Leptolyngbyaceae. The record is from RNAcentral.
ACUGGGGUGAAGUCGUAACAAGGUAGCCGUACGGAAGGUGUGGCUGGAUCACCUCCUUA